UACAGGGGGUGCAAACGUUGCUCGGAAUCAUUGGGCGUAAAGCGCACGUAGGCGGUUCGUUAUGUCGGAUGUGAAAGCCCUUGGCUUAACCGAGGAAGUGCAUCCGAAACUGGCGAGCUAGAGUACUAAAGAGGAUCGCGGAAUUCCCGGUGUAGAGGUGAAAUUCGUAGAUAUCGGGAGGAACACCGGUGGCGAAGGCGGCCAACUGGACGGUGACUGACACUGAGACGCGAAAGCGUGGGGAGCAAACAGG
RNAcentral lists this ribosomal RNA (253 nucleotides) under uncultured bacterium. RNAcentral's name for it is "partial 16S ribosomal RNA". It matches the Rfam family "Bacterial small subunit ribosomal RNA", at positions 524 to 776 of the family's 1533-position model. The record is from RNAcentral.